RNAcentral lists this long non-coding RNA (447 nucleotides) under Vigna radiata. RNAcentral's name for it is "long non-coding RNA (VRAD_LNC002579)". The record is from RNAcentral. Lineage: Eukaryota; Viridiplantae; Streptophyta; Magnoliopsida; Fabales; Fabaceae.
UGACAUGGCAUCACAUUGAUAUGUAUCACCAUCACAUCAAGCAUGCACCAAGGUCUUGCAAGGAAUAAAAGGCAUGUGUACCAUCAUGAUAAAGAAACUAUGUGGUCCAAAUAGCUUUGGUGACCCACGCGAUAACCUCCCCUUACCAAUUAUUUGGGACCAUAGUCAUAAACACCCCUAUAAGCUUGAAUGUUUUUCUUGUCCUUCAUUCCAAUCACCUUUUUGCUAUUUUCGAACAUAAUAGUUUGCAAUGGUUUUUUGAACAUUUCGUAGCUUAUGCUCAGCUUUCUACAUGCUUUAACUCCACACUUCCCUCCUUUUUUGUUCUCGGAUGAAAUGAAAUCGCACAUCAAUGUGUUUGUUCCUCUCAUGGUUGACCGAACUCUUUGCUAACUCAAUGGCUGACCUAUUGUGAAUCUGUAUCAAGGUGCCUCCUUCUUGUUUCAU